Molecule: ribosomal RNA, 253 nt
Filed under: uncultured bacterium
Lineage: Bacteria
Description: partial 16S ribosomal RNA
Rfam family: Bacterial small subunit ribosomal RNA
Source: RNAcentral
UACGGGGGGGGCAAGCGUUGUUCGGAAUUACUGGGCGUAAAGGGUUCGUAGGUGGCUCGCUAAGUCAGACGUGAAAUCCCUCAGCUUAACUGGGGAACUGCGUCUGAGACUGGCGAGCUCGAGUGCAGGAGAGGAACGCGGAAUUCCAGGUGUAGCGGUGAAAUGCGUAGAUAUCGGGAGGAACACCUGUGGCGAAAGCGGCGCACUGGACCAUAACUGACGCUGAGGCGCGAAAGCUAGGGGAGCAAACAGG